Taeniopygia guttata (zebra finch) is the source of this 1714-nucleotide non-coding RNA. The record is from RefSeq and is a predicted model, not a curated record. NCBI's taxonomy places the organism in Eukaryota, Metazoa, Chordata, Aves, Passeriformes, Estrildidae.
AUAAAGCUACCAAAGGAAAAUGUUUAAACAGAUUUUAUCUGCACUUAUUAUAGACUCUGGAAAUUUACACCAAAUACAAUCUGAGAUUGAAAAAAAACAGAAAGGUUUUGAUUUUUUUUUUGACAUUAUCUUCAGCCCUGUUGUAAAAUACUAAGUUACUAAAAACCCAAAGGAGUAUUUUGCUUUUUAAAAUUCUUAACAUAAAAAAUAUUUGCCCUUUACUGUAAUGAAUUCUUGGGCUCUGCCGUAGUCUGUGUGUCUCUGGCAUGGCCAAGGCAGGCGAGCUGAAUGAAAGAAAAGUGAUUUUUUUUUUAUUUCAAUGACUGUGAUAAAGACAAAUGAUUCAAGCAUAUUUGGGGAACUUAGAAGUGAAGAGGACCUUAAAUACUGUUGUUCAUUAAAAUCUCCUAGGGAAAACAUGUAUUAAUAAUUUUGCAGGGAAUUAAGUUUUUUCAGCUUCUCUGUGGUUGGUUUUUAAUAUUUAGAAGGGUCUUGGGUAACUAGAGAGGUGUAGAACAGUGGAAAAACAGGAAACAGGCACAGCAAUGUGUCCCCAGCAGUUCAGUGGUGAGGCCCUGACAAAAUGCAAGGACAGGAUAAUAUUUGCUUGUGACAUCCUUAACAGAAAAGAGAAUGGAGACCAGAUAUUUGCUCAGUUGCCUCAGGAUGAUAAGCCUCCAGUAUUAAUCCUCAGAAAUAACUGAGUGGGAUGGGAAAAGGCUGAAUUAACUAAGAUAAUAGGAUGGACUGGUUUCCAUAUAGGAAUGACUAUGGUCAUAACUCUUCAGUCUUACAGAGAGAAGUAGAGGAAGCACAUGACAAAAACCUAUAAAAUGAAGAAAACCUAUAAAAUGAAGAAGGGUAGGAAUUUGUGUCUUUUCUCAUUUCAAGAAUGAUAAAAAGACCCAAAAGAUUCAGAGAGGGGUGACGAGGAUGGCCAAAGACACAGAAAACUUCUGAAUGUAGGAUGAGGAUGUAGACUUGGACUGUCUGACCUGUUAAACAGAUAAUGGAAGGAAAUAUUCAAGAAGGCUAUAAAAUCAUGAGUGGUGUGAUGGUGGAUGGGGAGCAAGUGUUCCAGAGCAAGGACCACUUGGCCCCCAGCAGUUAUGCAGGCAGUGGGCAGCAGCAGGCUACACACUGACAAGAGCAAGGUCUCUGCAGGAUGUGCUGGUCCACUGUGGAACACCCUGCCAGUGGCUGCUGGAAGGCUGGAGGCAGGCAAAGAGAGGCGGAGCUGCUCUGCAGGAGCUAAUCCCCACUGUCUCCCUCCCCUUCUCCCUCUCCCUGUUGUUGUUUCUUGCUCUCCCCGCAUGUUCCAGUAGAGAAUGUCAAGAGACCACUUCUACCUUGGGAAUGCCUGAGCUGGAGGCUGGUGGGAGACAUGGGCAGAUCUGAGCACAGCGGCUCCACAGGCUUGUCCAGGACUAUUCUAAUCCCCUACAUUCCCCAGUCUGUCAUUCUUGGAGGCAAAACUUUGGGAUGAAUGAUCCUGUCAUGUGUUCCAGGGAGAAGAGCUGCAACAAACCACAAACUGAACCAAACUUACCACAGAACUAGAUUUUCUACUUUCAGCCAAGCCAACAGAGUUGAUUCCUUGGAGUACCACUUAACUAUUCAUUUAUUUGGUGAAGAAUUUAAGAAAUCGUGUAGCUAAUGAGGACUCUCCAGGAUUUAUGCACACAAUAAAUUUAGGGUUUUCUGAACCGAAAAA